CACGUGACUGUGAGACUGUGUGUAAUGGUGAAUGCCGUGCUUCAUGCCAGUCGAAUCAGACUCAAAAACAAUGGUGUAAAAGAAGCUGUUCAGGAGAUGACGUGUGUUGUACACCGCCAGCUGGUGAUGAUUGUGUAGCUGAUGUGGGUGGUAUAUGCCGUGCAAAAAAAUGCAAUAGAGAUGAAAAUGAGGUUUUCGGUACCGGUUGCAGAAACGAACGUGUUUGCUGUAUUUCGGCAUAAAUUACGACAUCGCCAUUGGACAAGCUUUGACGUGAAUAUUCUACAGAUGGAUAUUUGUUGUGAAUAGUUUAGUUUGAGAAAUAAAGCUGAUAACAACGUCUCA
Saccoglossus kowalevskii is the source of this 345-nucleotide long non-coding RNA. Lineage: Eukaryota; Metazoa; Hemichordata; Enteropneusta; Harrimaniidae. The record is from RefSeq and is a predicted model, not a curated record.